This 327-nucleotide ribosomal RNA is filed under the name uncultured eukaryote. Its description in RNAcentral is "partial 18S ribosomal RNA". It matches the Rfam family "Eukaryotic small subunit ribosomal RNA", at positions 1470 to 1796 of the family's 1831-position model. The record is from RNAcentral.
CCCUUAGAUGUUCUGGGCCGCACGCGCGCUACACUGACGAAUGCAACGAGCUUAUAACCUUGGCCGAAAGGUCUGGGUAAUCUCCAAAUUUCGUCGUGAUGGGGAUAGAUUAUUGCAAUUAUUAAUCUUCAACGAGGAAUGCCUAGUAAGCGCAAGUCAUCAGCUUGCGUUGAUUACGUCCCUGCCCUUUGUACACACCGCCCGUCGCUCCUACCGAUUGAAUGGUCCGGUGAAGCGUUCGGACCGUGGCCUUUGGACGGUUCGCCGUCUGUUGGCUGCGGGAAGUCCGUUAAACCUUAUCAUUUAGAGGAAGGAGAAGUCGUAACA